Molecule: ribosomal RNA, 300 nt
Filed under: uncultured Pyrococcus sp.
Lineage: Archaea; Methanobacteriati; Methanobacteriota; Thermococci; Thermococcales; Thermococcaceae
Description: bacterial SSU rRNA
Rfam family: Bacterial small subunit ribosomal RNA
Source: RNAcentral
UGGGAGUGCGGGCCAGAGGCCGCGGGAGGACGCACGUUGUGAAGUAUAUGUGGAAGCGCUGGGCUGAAAGGGGGGGUAUGCGGCUGGUGAAGUAGGGUGUGAAAGCCCCCGGCUCAACCGGGGAAUUGCGCCCGAAACUGGGGGGCUGGAGUGAGAUAGGGGUGUGUGGAACUUCCGGUGGAGCGGUGAAAUGUGUUGUUAUCGGAAGGAACGCCGGUGGCGAAAGCGACACACUGGAUCUUGUCUGACGCUGAGGCACGAAAGCCAGGGGAGCGAACGGGAUUAGAUACCCGGGUAGUC